CGAACGAUGAACCACUUCUGUGGGGAUUAGUGGCGAACGGGUGAGUAACACGUGGGCAAUCUGCCCUGCACUCUGGGACAAGCCCUGGAAACGGGGUCUAAUACCGGAUACUGACCCUCGCAGGCAUCUGCGAGGUUCGAAAGCUCCGGCGGUGCAGGAUGAGCCCGCGGCCUAUCAGCUUGUUGGUGAGGUAAUGGCUCACCAAGGCGACGACGGGUAGCCGGCCUGAGAGGGCGACCGGCCACACUGGGACUGAGACACGGCCCCCACUCCUACGGGAGGCAGCAGUGGGGAAUAUUGCACAAUGGGCGAAAGCCUGAUGCAGCGACGCCGCGUGAGGGAUGACGGCCUUCGGGUUGUAAACCUCUUUCAGCAGGGAUGAAGCGAAAGUGACGGUACCUGCAGAAGAAGCGCCGGCUAACUACGUGCCAGCAGCCGCGGUAAUACGUAGGGCGCAAGCGUUGUCCGGAAUUAUUGGGCGUAAAGAGCUCGUAGGCGGCUUGUCGCGUCGGUUGUGAAAGCCCGGGGCUUAACCCCGGGUCUGCAGUCGAUACGGGCAGGCUAGAGUUCGGUAGGGGAGAUCGGAAUUCCUGGUGUAGCGGUGAAAUGCGCAGAUAUCAGGAGGAACACCGGUGGCGAAGGCGGAUCUCUGGGCCGAUACUGACGCUGAGGAGCGAAAGCGUGGGGAGCGAACAGGAUUAGAUACCCUGGUAGUCCACGCCGUAAACGGUGGGCACUAGGUGUGGGCAACAUUCCACGUUGUCCGUGCCGCAGCUAACGCAUUAAGUGCCCCGCCUGGGGAGUACGGCCGCAAGGCUAAAACUCAAAGGAAUUGACGGGGGCCCGCACAAGCGGCGGAGCAUGUGGCUUAAUUCGACGCAACGCGAAGAACCUUACCAAGGCUUGACAUACACCGGAAACGUCCGGAG
This 929-nucleotide ribosomal RNA is filed under the name uncultured bacterium. RNAcentral's name for it is "bacterial SSU rRNA". It matches the Rfam family "Bacterial small subunit ribosomal RNA", at positions 63 to 1005 of the family's 1533-position model. The record is from RNAcentral.